Molecule: transfer RNA, 82 nt
Filed under: Paenibacillus flagellatus
Lineage: Bacteria; Bacillati; Bacillota; Bacilli; Caryophanales; Paenibacillaceae
Rfam family: tRNA
About the family: Transfer RNA (tRNA) molecules are approximately 80 nucleotides in length. Their secondary structure includes four short double-helical elements and three loops (D, anti-codon, and T loops).
Source: Rfam by way of RNAcentral
GCGGUCGUGGUGGAAUGGCAGACACGCUAUCUUGAGGGGGUAGUGUCCCUAGGACGUGAGAGUUCGAGUCUCUCCGACCGCA